Pelobates cultripes (western spadefoot toad) is the source of this 264-nucleotide non-coding RNA. The record is from the annotation of a GenBank genome assembly. Lineage: Eukaryota; Metazoa; Chordata; Amphibia; Anura; Pelobatidae.
CAGUACUGCAGACAUAGCCAGGUAUAACAAGGAUAGAAUUACUCAAAAUAACAGAAUCUGCAGUGGCUUAGAGGCAGUAGAGCAGGCCCAGGACAUGAAGGACCCAGGUUUAAAUUCCCUGUCUGGCACCUGUGGGGUGACAACGCCUGACCGUCUGGAUUUCAUGUUGAGAACCUGGGACAUCUGAAAUAAAUUAAUCCUCUCCCAACAGGUAUAAAACAGAGAUGUACCCUGAGCCCUUGGUUCGUAUCAAUAACACACUAG